CCUACGGGGGGCUGCAGUGGGGAAUUUUGGACAAUGGGGGCAACCCUGAUCCAGCCAUGCCGCGUGCGGGAAGAAGGCCUUCGGGUUGUAAACCGCUUUCGGCCGGAACGAAAUCGCCGGGGAGAACAUCCCCGGUGGAUGACGGUACCGGAAGAAGCAGCACCGGCUAACUACGUGCCAGCAGCCGCGGUAAUACGUAGGGUGCUAGCGUUAAUCGGAAUUACUGGGCGUAAAGCGCUAGCACGGAGGUGAAAGCCCCGGGCUUAACCUGGGAAGUGCGUUGGUGACUGGCGAGCUGGAGUGCGGAAGAGGGAGGUGGAAUUCCACGUGUAGCAGUGAAAUGCGUAGAGAUGUGGAGGAACACCGAUGGCGAAGGCAGCCUCCUGGUCUAGCACUGACGCUCAUGCACGAAAGCGUGGGGAGCAAACAGGAUUAGAUACCCGUGUAGUC
This 450-nucleotide ribosomal RNA is filed under the name uncultured bacterium. RNAcentral's name for it is "partial 16S ribosomal RNA". It matches the Rfam family "Bacterial small subunit ribosomal RNA", at positions 338 to 795 of the family's 1533-position model. The record is from RNAcentral.